RNAcentral lists this ribosomal RNA (622 nucleotides) under Bacteroidota bacterium. RNAcentral describes it as "partial 23S ribosomal RNA". It matches the Rfam family "Bacterial large subunit ribosomal RNA", at positions 1 to 620 of the family's 2925-position model. Lineage: Bacteria; Pseudomonadati; Bacteroidota. The record is from RNAcentral.
GGUCAAGCUAAUAAGAGCAUAGGGUGAAUGCCUAGGCACCAGGAGCCGAAGAAGGACGUGACAAGCUGCGAAAAGCUGCGGAGAGGCGCAAAUAGCCUUUGACCCGCAGAUAUCCGAAUGGGGGAACCCACCUGAGGUGAAUUCUCAGGUAUCGUUGCAUGAAUACAUAGUGUAACGAAGGGAGACGCAGGGAACUGAAACAUCUAAGUACCUGCAGGAAAAGAAAACAAUAGUGAUUCCGUAAGUAGUGGCGAGCGAAAGCGGAAGAGCCCAAACCGGGAUACAGCAAUGUAGACCGGGGUUGAGGACCAGCAUAAUGAUUCCAAGGUUAUAGCAGAAUGAGCGGAUGGAAAGCCGCGGCCAUAGAGGGUAAAAGUCCCGUAAGCGAAAUAACCGAAGACAGGCCGGUAUCCAGAGUACCACGAGACACGUGAAACCUUGUGGGAAACCGGGAGGACCACCUCCCAAGGCUAAAUACUACCUGGUGACCGAUAGUGAAGCAGUACCGUGAGGGAAAGGUGAAAAGAACCCCGGGAGGGGAGUGAAAGAGAACCUGAAACCCUAUGUUUACAAGCAGUUGGAGAGCGUUAAGGCUCGACAGCGUACUUUUUGUAGAACGGUC